Molecule: transfer RNA, 76 nt
Filed under: Candidatus Neomicrothrix subdominans
Lineage: Bacteria; Bacillati; Actinomycetota; Acidimicrobiia; Acidimicrobiales; Microthrixaceae
Description: tRNA-Val
Source: RNAcentral
GGGCCCAUAGCUCAGCUGGUUAGAGCUGCCUUCACACGGCAGAGGUCAGAGGUCUGGAGUCCCCUUGGGCCCACCA